CGGAUUGUAAAGCCCUGUUUUCUAGGACGAUAAUGACGGUACUAGAGGAGGAAGCCACGGCUAACUACGUGCCAGCAGCCGCGGUAAUACGUAGGUGGCGAGCGUUGUCCGGAUUUACUGGGCGUAAAGGGUGCGUAGGCGGAUGUUUAAGUGGGAUGUGAAAUCCCCGGGCUUAACCUGGGGGCUGCAUUCCAAACUGGAUAUCUAGAGUGCAGGAGAGGAAAGCGGAAUUCCUAGUGUAGCGGUGAAAUGCGUAGAGAUUAGGAAGAACACCAGUGGCGAAGGCGGCUUUCUGGACUGUAACUGACGCUGAGGCACGAAAGCGUGGGUAGCAAACAGGAUUAGAUACCCUGGUAGUCCACGCCGUAAACGAUGGAUACUAGGUGUAGGGGGUAUCAACUCCCCCUGUGCCGCAGUUAACACAAUAAGUAUCCCGCCUGGGGAGUACGGUCGCAAGAUUAAAACUCAAAGGAAUUGACGGGGGCCCGCACAAGCAGCGGAGCAUGUGGUUUAAUUCGAAGCAACGCGAAGAACCUUACCUGGACUUGACAUCCCUUGCAUAGCCUAGAGAUAGGUGAAGCCCUUCGGGGCAAGGAGACAGGUGGUGCAUGGUUGUCGUCAGCUCGUGUCGUGAGAUGUUAGGUUAAGUCCUGCAACGAGCGCAACCCUUGUUAUUAGUUGCUACCAUUAAGUUGAGCACUCUAAUGAGACUGCCUGGGUAACCAGGAGGAAGGUGGGGAUGACGUCAAAUCAUCAUGCCCCUUAUGUCCAGGGCUACACACGUGCU
This 787-nucleotide ribosomal RNA is filed under the name Clostridium botulinum. RNAcentral describes it as "bacterial SSU rRNA". It matches the Rfam family "Bacterial small subunit ribosomal RNA", at positions 419 to 1226 of the family's 1533-position model. Lineage: Bacteria; Bacillati; Bacillota; Clostridia; Eubacteriales; Clostridiaceae. The record is from RNAcentral.